UACGUAGGGGGCGAGCGUUGUCCGGAAUCAUUGGGCGUAAAGAGCGUGUAGGCGGCCAGACAAGUCUGCUGUGAAAACUCGAGGCUCAACCUCGAGCUGUCGGUGGAAACUGUCUGGCUAGAGUCCGGAAGAGGAGAGUGGAAUUCCUGGUGUAGCGGUGAAAUGCGCAGAUAUCAGGAAGAACACCUAUGGCGAAGGCAGCUCUCUGGGACGGUACUGACGCUGAGACGCGAAAGCGUGGGGAGCGAACAGG
Molecule: ribosomal RNA, 253 nt
Filed under: uncultured bacterium
Lineage: Bacteria
Description: partial 16S ribosomal RNA
Rfam family: Bacterial small subunit ribosomal RNA
Source: RNAcentral